GCCUGAUGCAGCAACGCCGCGUGAGGGAUGACGGCCUUCGGGUUGUAAACCUCUUUUAGUAGGGAAGAAGGGCUUCUGCUUGACGGUACCUGCAGAAAAAGCACCGGCUAACUACGUGCCAGCAGCCGCGGUAAUACGUAGGGUGCGAGCGUUGUCCGGAAUUAUUGGGCGUAAAGAGCUCGUAGGCGGUUUGUCACGUCUGCUGUGAAAUCCCAAGGCUCAACCUCGGGCCUGCACUGGGUACGGGCAGACUGGAGUGCGGUAGGGGAGAAUGGAAUUCCUGGUGUAGCGGUGGAAUGCGCAAAUAUCAAGAGGAACACCGAUGGCGAAGGCAGUUCUCUGGGCCGUAACUGACGCUGAGGAGCGAAAGCGUGGGGAGCGAACAGGAUUAGAUACCCUGGUAGUCCACGCCGUAAACGUUGGGCGCUAGAUGUGGGGACCUUUCCACGGUUUCCGUGUCGUAGCUAACGCAUUAAGCGCCCCGCCUGGGGAGUACGGCCGCAAGGCUAAAACUCAAAGGAAUUGACGGGGGCCCGCACAAGCGGCGGAGCAUGCGGAUUAAUUCGAUGCAACGCGAAGAACCUUACCAAGGCUUGACAUAACCGAGAACGCCGCAGAAAUGUG
Molecule: ribosomal RNA, 624 nt
Filed under: Agromyces sp. So2Pw_1272
Lineage: Bacteria; Bacillati; Actinomycetota; Actinomycetes; Micrococcales; Microbacteriaceae
Description: bacterial SSU rRNA
Rfam family: Bacterial small subunit ribosomal RNA
Source: RNAcentral